Non-coding RNA from Schistosoma haematobium, 45 nucleotides. NCBI's taxonomy places the organism in Eukaryota, Metazoa, Platyhelminthes, Trematoda, Strigeidida, Schistosomatidae. The record is from Rfam.
AUCCAACUGACGAGUCGCAAAUAAGACGAAACACACAUUCUGGAU